RNAcentral lists this transfer RNA (85 nucleotides) under Armillaria luteobubalina. RNAcentral describes it as "tRNA-Pro". It matches the Rfam family "tRNA". Rfam says of the family: Transfer RNA (tRNA) molecules are approximately 80 nucleotides in length. Their secondary structure includes four short double-helical elements and three loops (D, anti-codon, and T loops). The record is from RNAcentral. Lineage: Eukaryota; Fungi; Basidiomycota; Agaricomycetes; Agaricales; Physalacriaceae.
GGCCUGAUGGUCUAGUAGUAUGAUUCCUUGUUAGGGUUGUUUAACUAAAUCGAGGAGGUCCCGGGUUCAAUUCCCGGUCAGGCCC